Molecule: ribosomal RNA, 253 nt
Filed under: uncultured bacterium
Lineage: Bacteria
Description: partial 16S ribosomal RNA
Rfam family: Bacterial small subunit ribosomal RNA
Source: RNAcentral
UACGUAGGGUCCAAGCGUUAAUCGGAAUUACUGGGCGUAAAGCGUGCGCAGGCGGUUCUGAAAGUCAGCUGUGAAAGCCCCGGGCUUAACCUGGGAAUUGCGGUUGAAACUACAGGGCUAGAAUCUGGCAGAGGGGGGUGGAAUUCCACGUGUAGCAGUGAAAUGCGUAGAGAUGUGGAGGAACACCGAUGGCGAAGGCAGCCCCCUGGGCUGACACUGACGCUCAGGCACGAAAGCGUGGGGAGCAAACAGG